Molecule: ribosomal RNA, 497 nt
Filed under: uncultured bacterium
Lineage: Bacteria
Description: partial 16S ribosomal RNA
Rfam family: Bacterial small subunit ribosomal RNA
Source: RNAcentral
GAUGAACGCUGGCGGCGUGCCUAAUACAUGCAAGUCGAGCGAACAGAUGAGGAGCUUGCUCCUCUGACGUUAGCGGCGGACGGGUGAGUAACACGUGGAUAACCUACCUAUAAGACUGGGAUAACUUCGGGAAACCGGAGCUAAUACCGGAUAAUAUAUUGAACCGCAUGGUUCAAUAGUGAAAGACGGUUUUGCUGUCACUUAUAGAUGGAUCCGCGCCGCAUUAGCUAGUUGGUAAGGUAACGGCUUACCAAGGCGACGAUGCGUAGCCGACCUGAGAGGGUGAUCGGCCACACUGGAACUGAGACACGGUCCAGACUCCUACGGGAGGCAGCAGUAGGGAAUCUUCCGCAAUGGGCGAAAGCCUGACGGAGCAACGCCGCGUGAGUGAUGAAGGUCUUCGGAUCGUAAAGCUCUGUUAUUAGGGAAGAACAAAUGUGUAAGUACCUAUGCACGUCUUGACGGUACCUAAUCAGAAAGCCACGGCUAACUACGUG